RNAcentral lists this long non-coding RNA (2838 nucleotides) under Homo sapiens (human). Its description in RNAcentral is "long independently transcribed non-coding RNA 2994 (LINC02994)". The record is from RNAcentral. Lineage: Eukaryota; Metazoa; Chordata; Mammalia; Primates; Hominidae.
GCUAGAAAUCAGCGAGACUCCGUGGGCGUAGGAGCCUCCGAGCCAGUCAUGGUCUGGAGUCAAGAAAUGAAGAGGGCAAGCAAUGUUUUUGGCAUCCUGACUACAGUUACAUGCAGUUUGGGGCUGCUGCAAUGGCAACUCAACGGAGAGGUUAGGAACACCAACUCCAGGAUCAGGCAAUCUUUGAAUCCCUGUCACUAGCAGCUUUGUAUAUUGGAGCAAGUUACUUAACAUCUGUCUGCUGGAGUUUGCUGGAGGUUCACUCCAGACCCUAUUUGCCUGGGUAUCACCAGUGGAGGCUGCAGAACAGCAAAGAUUGCUGCCUAUUCCUUCCUCUGGAAGCUUCUUCCUAGAGAGUCACCUGCCAGAUGCCAGCCAGAGCUCCCCGAAAUGAGGUAUUCAGUGACAUCUUUCUAAAUUGUUUAAAAUGAGAAGCAUUGCACACUGAGAGUCAGGAUCCAAGUGUCUUUGACUGAGCCAACUCAGCUCUGCUAUUAACUUAUGGUGUGAUCGCAGGCUGUCUAGAAAAGGACACCAACAAUCACCCAUGAAGAUUGCCCUUCAACCUUUGGGAGGAAAUGAUCGAAAUGGGAGCUAGAGAAGAUUGUUGUUGGAAUCUCAGUUCUUCAGAGAGCUACUAUCAACAGAUUGAGUUGACAGGAAAAAGUCAUAAUCCAGGCCAAAGUGAGCAAACUCCCAAGAGCAUUCCUGGUCAGCACCGCAGCAAAUCCGUGGCAAGUGCAGAGAUUAUAAGCAAUUUCUCCAUGGCUGGAAUUCAGUUGAUCUGGGACUGAACCUAUUUCUAAUGGGGUCUUGAUAUAUUGCCCAGGCUGGAGUGCAGGGGCUAUUCACAGGCACAAUCAUAGCUCACUACAGUCUCAAACUCCUAAUCUCAAGCAGUAGCUGGGACUGUAAGUAUGCACCAACACUCCCGGUUUGGGUAUCUCCAUUGAUUGGCAACCAGCACCACAGUAGAUGCUGAUGAAAAGAAAGUUAUGAAUGUCAUGUAAAAUGACAGUAGUAUUAGCAAAUGUGCUUUUAAUUAUAAGAAAAUUACAAUAUGUAAAAAAAUUUCAAUUUUCCCAUAUUAUCUCUUAAUAAUAACUGCCAUUUGUUGAGCCCAUUGGGUAUGUUACAUAUAUUAACACAACAGGAUGGACAUUAUCUAUCUUAUAUAUAUUAUGUGUAUAUAUACGGAAAACAGGACACAAAUUGUCUGAGGCCAUGGACAAUUAGCUUGCAGUAAAGUAGGAUUCUAAAUUAGGUUUCUCUAGCUCCAAGACCCAUGCCAUUUUGUUUGGUCAUUUGCUUCUGAUGAAUCAAAUAUUAAUUCAGCCAAAGACAGCUAUUCAAAGCUGGUUGAAUAACUUACUAUGUGUAAUUCACUUGUGUCCUGCCUUUCUUCCGAACUUUUGUACAAAACCUUGAUUAUUUUAAUAAGGCAUUCUAUACAUAAAGUUUCAAAUAAACCAUAAGUACCUCAAGAAAAUGUCAUAUAAUUUAGAAUUGAAUCAUAGCAUAUUUUUAAUCUGGAAGCAACAUAUCUAAAUAAGCCAUUUUUAUAUUAUAAAUACAAACAGGUACAAAGAAGUAUAGUUCACUUUACAAGCUGUUGUACAUGCAUAAUACCAUAUUAUGCUACCAAAGAAACUAUUAAGUUAUACAUAUUUUUUACAGCUUUAACUAUUUUUGUUGUCAAUUUCCUCUAAUAAGAUUUUUUCUGGAUAAACAAAAAUUUAUCUACUCAAAUGAUUGUUUUUCUUCAACAUCAUAAUGUUGCAGGCCUAUUGAUGUAUAUUUUUGUGUACUAAAUAGUUUGUGGAGCUCUUCUUGAAGAAUUAUCUUCAGAGCUGAUUAACCAGACACACCCUCCAGACAUCAUAGUCACAGCUGCUUUGAGACAGCAACAACCUCAUCCCCGCAAAUAGUAUGGAUUCCUGUCUUAUUCAAUAGGUCUGAAUUUUAAAUACUCUUAGCUUAUUUCAAGAACUAAAUCUAUCCUCCACAAAUAAAAAUGUGCUGCCGCUCAGAAUAUUUAGGAGAAUAUGUGAUAGCCAAGAUACUUUUGGCUUAUUUCAAAAAUUCAUCUAUCUCCACAAAGGAAAAUGUUUCACCAUUCAGAAUAUUCAAGAGAAUUUUCUUAGAAAAGAAAUCCAAGAUUGUAUUCAUUGGAAUAACAGACCUUUCUUCAAGGUGACUUCUUUCAAAAGAACAAUAUUUAGGGGUAUAUAGAACAUCAUUUUUAAAAUAAUUUAUUUUGCUAUAUUUACCACAUUUCAUGACACCCUAAAAGAUUUUGGCUAAUGAAAUUUAUACAGUUCAAAUGUGUAUUCCUGAAGAGACAAGACUGAGGGAAAAAAAAUUAUCUCAAAGUCAUUCUCAAAUUAGACAUGAAAUGAAUUAUUAAUUUCUACAUAUUUUACCAUCAUGCUUGUAGUUUUAAUAAACAAAAAUCAAAUGCAUAUAGGCUUCACACACUUUGUGUAAUUGCUUGUUUAACAUCCCCAAAUUCCAUAAAUGCAAAAACUAGAUCUGUCUGGCUUUCCAUUAAGUCCCCAGCACCUAGCAAGGUGCUUAACAAAUAGCAGAUGGAUGUUGGAAGGAAUAAAGGAACAAAGAAAAGAAUAGAAGAAGUUAGUGACUUGAUUCUAUACAGAGUGGACCUUGACACAUACUGCAAGUGAAUGUUAAACUAAAAGUAUAAUUUCUUUAUCAGUGAAUAUAUUUCCAUGAAUUUUAAGUAUUUUGCUGAUGAUUUAUUAAAUAUGUAUUUCACUACUUUCUUUUCUUUUAAUCAGUCCUAUUCCAUCCCCUUCAAAUAAUAAAAAAGUUUCAAUG